Molecule: transfer RNA, 69 nt
Filed under: Marmota monax (woodchuck)
Lineage: Eukaryota; Metazoa; Chordata; Mammalia; Rodentia; Sciuridae
Rfam family: tRNA
About the family: Transfer RNA (tRNA) molecules are approximately 80 nucleotides in length. Their secondary structure includes four short double-helical elements and three loops (D, anti-codon, and T loops).
Source: Rfam by way of RNAcentral
GGAAGUGUAGUUUAGUGGUACAGCAUGUACUUACCAUGCACAAAACCCUGGGUUCAGUUCCCAGCACCA